UUCUUAAUCAGUUUGGCUAAAGAUAGUGUUUCAUAAAAUGAGUUUCUUGGCCACGUGUGGUGGCUCACACCUGUAAUCCCAUUACUUUGGGAGGCAGAAGCAGGAGGAUCACAUGAGCCCAGGAGUUCAAGAUCAUCCUGUGCAGCAUGGCAAGACCUCGUCUCUGCAAAACUAAAUUAGCCGGGAUACAAAUGCUUGUUUUAAAGGAGACAUUAAAUUGAGUCUUCCAGUUUACAUAAUGAAGAUCAAACCACCUAAGCCUGUUACAGGCACCACAUUCAAAAGCCCCCUGGAAGUCUUUGCAAAGAUCAAGGACUGCUACGGACUGGGCUCCGGGCAGAAUCAUUUCAUCAAGGACAGUCAGUGGGAGCAGCAAGCUGAGAUCUUCAAUGCUUCCUACAAGAAGUAUCUAGAUGGGGAGUGGGAAGAGGAGCCACUCAGUACAGCCACCUUCUAUUUCCUUCUUCCUAGCUGCCUAUUUGCAAUGCCAAUGGAAGUCAAGGGCCCCUCAGGAAUGGCCUGUGUCCUUGGUAUACACUGGACCAGAAGUCACAAUUUCU
Molecule: small RNA, 560 nt
Filed under: Pongo abelii (Sumatran orangutan)
Lineage: Eukaryota; Metazoa; Chordata; Mammalia; Primates; Hominidae
Description: processed transcript
Source: RNAcentral